UGGAACCCAGAUCUUUAAAUCUCC
Molecule: non-coding RNA, 24 nt
Filed under: Mus musculus (house mouse)
Lineage: Eukaryota; Metazoa; Chordata; Mammalia; Rodentia; Muridae
Source: RNAcentral